This 891-nucleotide ribosomal RNA is filed under the name uncultured Lactobacillus sp. RNAcentral's name for it is "bacterial SSU rRNA". It matches the Rfam family "Bacterial small subunit ribosomal RNA", at positions 28 to 856 of the family's 1533-position model. The record is from RNAcentral. Lineage: Bacteria; Bacillati; Bacillota; Bacilli; Lactobacillales; Lactobacillaceae.
GACGAACGCUGGCGGCGUGCCUAAUACAUGCAAGUCGAGCGAGCUUGCCUAGAUGAAUUUGGUGCUUGCACCAAAUGAAACUAGAUACAAGCGAGCGGCGGACGGGUGAGUAACACGUGGGUAACCUGCCCAAGAGACUGGGAUAACACCUGGAAACAGAUGCUAAUACCGGAUAACAACACUAGACGCAUGUCUAGAGUUUAAAAGAUGGUUCUGCUAUCACUCUUGGAUGGACCUGCGGUGCAUUAGCUAGUUGGUAAGGUAACGGCUUACCAAGGCAAUGAUGCAUAGCCGAGUUGAGAGACUGAUCGGCCACAUUGGGACUGAGACACGGCCCAAACUCCUACGGGAGGCAGCAGUAGGGAAUCUUCCACAAUGGACGCAAGUCUGAUGGAGCAACGCCGCGUGAGUGAAGAAGGGUUUCGGCUCGUAAAGCUCUGUUGGUAGUGAAGAAAGAUAGAGGUAGUAACUGGCCUUUAUUUGACGGUAAUUACUUAGAAAGUCACGGCUAACUACGUGCCAGCAGCCGCGGUAAUACGUAGGUGGCAAGCGUUGUCCGGAUUUAUUGGGCGUAAAGCGAGUGCAGGCGGUUCAAUAAGUCUGAUGUGAAAGCCUUCGGCUCAACCGGAGAAUUGCAUCAGAAACUGUUGAACUUGAGUGCAGAGAGGAGAGUGGAACUCCAUGUGUAGCGGUGGAAUGCGUAGAUAAUGGAAGACACCAGUGGCGAGGCGGCUCUUUGGUCUGCACUGACGCUAGGCUCGAAAGCAUGGUAGCGACCGAUAAGAAACCCUAGUAGUCUAAGGCGAUUCACAGUGAAUUCAAGCUUAUCGAUACGGUCGACCUCAAGGGGAGAUCAGUAUCCAGCUUUUGUUCCAUUAUGAAGCUAAUAAC